This 650-nucleotide ribosomal RNA is filed under the name uncultured bacterium. Its description in RNAcentral is "bacterial SSU rRNA". It matches the Rfam family "Bacterial small subunit ribosomal RNA", at positions 41 to 725 of the family's 1533-position model. The record is from RNAcentral.
UUCAGGCCUAACACAUGCAAGUCGAACGUGAAGCUGGAGCUUGCUCCAGUGGAAAGUGGCAGACGGGUGAGUAACGCGUGGGAAUUUACCCAGUGGUUCGGAAUAACUUCGGGAAACCGGAGCUAAUACCGAAUACGCCCUCCGGGGGAAAGAUUUAUCGCCAUUGGAUGAGCCCGCGUCGGAUUAGCUUGUUGGUGGGGUAAAAGCCUACCAAGGCGACGAUCCGUAGCUGGUCUGAGAGGAUGAUCAGCCACACUGGGACUGAGACACGGCCCAGACUCCUACGGGAGGCAGCAGUGGGGAAUAUUGCACAAUGGGCGCAAGCCUGAUGCAGCCAUGCCGCGUGAGUGAAGAAGGCCUUAGGGUUGUAAAACUCUUUCACCGGUGAAGAUAAUGACGGUAGCCGGAGAAGAAGCCCCGGCCAACUCCGUGCCAGCAGCCGCGGUAAUACGGAGGGGGCUAGCGUUGUUCGGAAUUACUGGGCGUAAAGCGCGCGUAGGCGGGCUGGUCAGUUGGGGGUGAAAUCCCGGGGCUUAACCUCGGAACUGCCCUCAAUACUACCAGUCUAGAGAUCGAGAGAGGUAAGUGGAAUUCCUAGUGUAGAGGUGAAAUUCGUAGAUAUUAGGAAGAACACCAGUGGCGAAGGCGGC